UACGGAGGGGGCUAGCGUUGUUCGGAAUUACUGGGCGUAAAGCGCACGUAGGCGGCUUUGUAAGUUAGAGGUGAAAGCCCGGAGCUCAACUCCGGAAUUGCCUUUAAGACUGCAUUGCUAGAAUUGUGGAGAGGUAAGUGGAAUUCCGAGUGUAGAGGUGAAAUUCGUAGAUAUUCGGAAGAACACCAGUGGCGAAGGCGACUUACUGGACACAUAUUGACGCUGAGGUGCGAAAGCGUGGGGAGCAAACAGG
RNAcentral lists this ribosomal RNA (253 nucleotides) under uncultured bacterium. RNAcentral describes it as "partial 16S ribosomal RNA". It matches the Rfam family "Bacterial small subunit ribosomal RNA", at positions 524 to 776 of the family's 1533-position model. The record is from RNAcentral.